UACGUAGGUGGCAAGCGUUGUCCGGAUUUACUGGGCGUAAAGAGCGCGCAGGCGGUCGUUCAAGUCGCGUGUGAAAGCCCCCGGCUCAACUGGGGAGGGUCACGCGAUACUGAUCGACUCGAAGGCAGGAGAGGGAAGUGGAAUUCCGGGUGGAGUGGUGAAAUGCGUAGAGAUCCGGAGGAACACCAGAGGCGAAGGCGGCCUGCUGGGCUGCACCUGACGCUGAGCCGCGAAAGCCAGGGGAGCGAACGGG
Molecule: ribosomal RNA, 253 nt
Filed under: uncultured bacterium
Lineage: Bacteria
Description: partial 16S ribosomal RNA
Rfam family: Bacterial small subunit ribosomal RNA
Source: RNAcentral